UGGUUGAGGACCACUCUGUACUGUGAGGGGGCGGGCUGUUGAUGGUGACAUGGAGUUGGCUUCUGUUAAGACCUUUUGUGCUGGCACUGUGCUGUUCCUUAUGUUAAAACUGGAGUUCGGGCUUUAGGAAACUGGCCAGCCGUGUAAGGUUGAUCUCCUCGCUCCUGUCUGCCCCGGGAGGGACGUGGGCGCUGUGUCAUUACACCGUGUACUUCUCUCCCCUGGUUGUUCCGAUGAGUGUGUGCCCGUUUCCCACAUACCACCCUUCACGGGGAGCCUGACUCUGGCCAGGGCUGGCUGGAAUCUUGCUUUACUCCCAGGCCAUCAGCUACACUGGUCUGUGGUCUUUGGCCAGAGAGCUCCGUGGCUCCUGAGAAAGGAAGGUGCUGGUUGGAGUUGACGCUUGCCUCCUAGGGCCCACAGCUCCCAGGAUGUGGAUUUUGCUACCUGCAGAGAUG
Molecule: long non-coding RNA, 458 nt
Filed under: Bos taurus (domestic cattle)
Lineage: Eukaryota; Metazoa; Chordata; Mammalia; Artiodactyla; Bovidae
Description: long non-coding RNA NONBTAT017705
Source: RNAcentral